UGGGGUGUGGCUCAGCCGUAGAGCCCUUGCCUAGCAUGUGUGAGGCACUGGGUUCAAUCCUCAGCAUUACAU
Molecule: transfer RNA, 72 nt
Filed under: Marmota marmota marmota (Alpine marmot)
Lineage: Eukaryota; Metazoa; Chordata; Mammalia; Rodentia; Sciuridae
Also listed under: 1 other name
Rfam family: tRNA
About the family: Transfer RNA (tRNA) molecules are approximately 80 nucleotides in length. Their secondary structure includes four short double-helical elements and three loops (D, anti-codon, and T loops).
Source: Rfam by way of RNAcentral